CGACUUGUUGCGGGCAGAUAAAGUGAAUAUGCGAGUCAACCGCACCGGCAGUCACGAUCUGACCUUCGCCAGCAAUCACUUCUGUACCAGGCCCUACAGCAAUCGUGACACCUUCUUGAGUGUCAGGGUUACCGCCUUUGCCAAUAGACGCGAUACGUCCGUCUUUUAUACCAAUAUCCGCCUUAACGAUACCCCAGUGAUCUAGAAUCAGCGCAUUAGUAAUGAGUACAUCCACUAUUUCGGACGACACCAUUUGGCUUUGACCCAUGCCAUCACG
Molecule: small RNA, 277 nt
Filed under: uncultured Alkalimarinus sp.
Lineage: Bacteria; Pseudomonadati; Pseudomonadota; Gammaproteobacteria; Alteromonadales; Alteromonadaceae
Description: 5' ureB small RNA
Rfam family: 5' ureB small RNA
Source: RNAcentral